UAUGUGAUCGUCUCUCGCAUAUCAAUAAGCGGAGGAAAAGAAACUAACAAGGAUUCCCCUAGUAACGGCGAGUGAAGCGGGAAGAGCUCAAAUUUGAAAUCUUAAAGGGUUUCCCUUUACGAAUUGUAGUUUAAAGAAGUGUUUUCCGUUGAGGUUUUGGUAAAAGUUCUUUGGAAUAGGACAUCAUAGAGGGUGAGAAUCCCGUAUUUGACCUUUACUUUCAACUUUGUGAUACACUUUCAAAGAGUCGGAUUGUUUGGGAAUGCAGUCCAAAAUGGGUGGUAAAUUUCAUCUAAAGCUAAAUAUUGGCGAGAGACCGAUAGCGAACAAGUACCGUGAGGGAAAGAUGAAAAGAACUUUGAAAAGAGAGUUAAACAGUACGUGAAAUUGUCAAAAGGGAAGCGUUUGACACCAGUGUUGUUUUUCUGAAAAUCAAUUAAAGAACUGUUUAUGCUAAGUUGUUUAGACUUUAUCAGCUAACUGUUUAGUUUCGAGCUUUUCUUUAAUGCACUUUUCAGUUAACAAGUCAACAUCAAUUUCUUUUGCUGUAAAAAAGCUUGAGGAAGGUGGCUUGAGAUUCGUCUUAAGUGUUUAUAGCCUCUUGCCUAUGCAGUCGGAGAGAUUGAGGUCUGCAGCGUAGAUCCCUCGGGGCUAAAUGCAUUUGUGCUAAGUUAUAGCAUUUUAUAGACAACUUGUUGACUAUGAUUUGUCUUGUAGCUUACUCGCUUAUGUUAUUUUACCUACGCUUAGGAUGUUGACGAGACUGUCGAUCUCAUCUAUACAUGACUCUGUGCAUAUCAAUAAGCGAGGAAGGAAAGACACGCAUCAAAGGAACGAUCAUCGAUAAGUUUCGUGGAGACCGCGCCAUACUGGAGCCGGGAAUCCAGAUGCUAGAGGAUGCCAUGUACCUGUGGUCGGAGUUGUUCCUUAUACCUACGCUUAGGAUGUUGACGAGACUGUCGAUCUC
Molecule: ribosomal RNA, 967 nt
Filed under: uncultured Neocallimastigales
Lineage: Eukaryota; Fungi; Neocallimastigomycota; Neocallimastigomycetes; Neocallimastigales
Description: partial large subunit ribosomal RNA
Rfam family: Eukaryotic large subunit ribosomal RNA
Source: RNAcentral